RNAcentral lists this ribosomal RNA (273 nucleotides) under uncultured bacterium. Its description in RNAcentral is "partial 16S ribosomal RNA". It matches the Rfam family "Bacterial small subunit ribosomal RNA", at positions 524 to 796 of the family's 1533-position model. The record is from RNAcentral.
UACGAAGGGUGCGAGCGUUAAUCGGAAUUACUGGGCGUAAAGUGUGCGCAGGCGGCCGCGCAAGUCGAGUGUGAAAGCCCCGAGCUUAACUUGGGAAUUGCGCUCGAAACUACGUGGCUGGAGUGUGGCAGAGGAAGGUGGAAUUCCAGGUGUAGCGGUGAAAUGCGUAGAGAUCUGGAGGAACACCGAUGGCGAAGGCAGCCUUCUGGGCCAACACUGACGCUCAUGCACGAAAGCGUGGGGAGCAAACAGGAUUAGAUACCCCCGUAGUCC